RNAcentral lists this long non-coding RNA (1569 nucleotides) under Theobroma cacao (cacao). RNAcentral's name for it is "long non-coding RNA (TCAC_LNC001887)". Lineage: Eukaryota; Viridiplantae; Streptophyta; Magnoliopsida; Malvales; Malvaceae. The record is from RNAcentral.
AAAGAAUAAUCCUGUAACCAGGAAUAGGGCUUUGAGUAAGAACAGUUCAAAUUCAAGGUCUGUUUCUGACACUGGGAGUCGUACGGUACAGAAGAAAACUCAGAAGACAACCAGGCAAGAGCCUGUUAAAGGGAGGGACAGGGCUAAGAGACCUGGGAUCAAAUCAGCUAACGAAGAAGGCAAGUCUGCAGAUAAAUUUCAUGUUUAGCAUCUGUGCCUUUGGGUGCAUGACUUAUGCAUUUGCAAUUUUAUUUACAGAUCAAGUUAGCCCUACGGCUGCAGCUGAGACUGUUGAAGAGGACAAAGAAAAUAUGGUAAGAGUUCUUAUCGGAACAGACUAAUAUAUUGAGCAUACUGCCCUACACUCUUUAAUGUUGUUAUAGCCCCAAAUUUGCAAGGUUUGAACAAGUUUGGAGGGCAGUGAUAAUGAUGCCUGAUUUCUACCUUCACAUGCUACUGACUAUUGAUCUCCUUCCUUUACAGGAUGCUCCUUUGACAGAAGAAAUCAGCGCGACUGAAGAGAUGUAGGUAGUGUGGUGCGCAAAUAUGCUGAACCAUAUUUGUUUCCAUCCUCAGCUGGGUUCUUUUUUGUCAAUUGUGGUUGUGAUUUCAUAUGUAUAGGGGUUAAAUUAAAGUGAAGUGUUCCAAUCUGGUGUGAAGUCAAGACCUCCUGUGUUUUUCUUGGGUUGUUGCUUUAAACUGGGAUUGUUUGUGUCUAGUAUUAUACAAUGACUUGGGAUACAAAAUUGCAUCAAAUCAUUCCAACUUAUUUGUUGUUUUCUUAAUGUUACUAAUAUUUUCAAGGAUAUGAUUGACACAAGAGCUUGUUUGAUCUGAAUCUGUUCAAGGCACGUCAGAAUUAUUACCAUGAUCCAUUGGCAAGCAGUAACUAUCCAAGUCCCACGAGGACAAAAGAUCCAAGUCAACCCCAUUAACCUAAAACGAAAGGAUACAAAACAAACCCAUUAAUUAAGCCAACGGCAUCUGAGAUUUUCGAUUUAGCAAUAAUUCAGUCCCAAAAUUUACACGAAACGAGUGCCCAGGCCAACAGUAAUAAUAACAUAAAAGACUAGAAGAAAAAAGAAUUAGCUAUGAAUGAGAGAGAAAGAAUUACAGGAGGAAUACAUAGUAGAAGAAGAAAACGAACCCAGUGUGGACGGAAUUUCAAUCGGAGUGAGAGGCAUCGUCGUCGCUGGAAUCAGAGAGAGGGUGAUGGGGAGGAUCAAAGCAUAGGUAGAGCCAUAAAGAGUCUGCAAGGCGGCAAAGAUGACGGAGCGGAAGGCAGAGGAGAUGCAAGACUUGGUCGCUGCUUAAGCGCUCUGGGUUACAGGCUAUGUAUUGGCAUACGUUUGCUGACACGUUGGCUACUGUCACCACCACCGAGCUGUUUAACACCAUCGCCUUUUUUCUCUUCCUCUCUUUUUUUUUUUUGUCUUUCCCGUCUCGGCUUUGAGCCAACCUCCCUGCCUUAUUUUGUUCCCUCUGGUCUUUAUAUGACUUGCUUGUUACUACUUUGUUCAUAACAGAGUGAAACUACGUCGUAUUAUGAUUAUCCAUUCUGUUAUAAUU